GACGGAGGAUGCAAGUGUUAUCCGGAAUCACUGGGCGUAAAGCGUCUGUAGGUGGUUUAAAAAGUCUACUGUUAAAGCUUGAAGCUUAACUUCAAAAAUGCCGUAGAAACUUUUAAACUUGAGUAUGGUAGGGGUAGAGGGAAUUUCCAGUGGAGCGGUGAAAUGCGUAGAUCUUGGAAAGACCACCAAUGGCGAAGGCACUCUACUGGGCCAUUACUGACACUAAGAGACGAAAGCUAGGGGAGCAAAUGGG
RNAcentral lists this ribosomal RNA (253 nucleotides) under uncultured bacterium. RNAcentral's name for it is "partial 16S ribosomal RNA". It matches the Rfam family "Bacterial small subunit ribosomal RNA", at positions 524 to 776 of the family's 1533-position model. The record is from RNAcentral.